Molecule: small RNA, 456 nt
Filed under: Cryptococcus neoformans H99
Lineage: Eukaryota; Fungi; Basidiomycota; Tremellomycetes; Tremellales; Cryptococcaceae
Description: Cryptococcus neoformans var. grubii H99 hypothetical RNA
Source: RNAcentral
CACAAAUACAUUCCCCUCAUGCGCGUUUUUCCCCUUUGUGGUGGUGGACCGUGCUAGGCCGUCCGGAGUCCUCACGUCAUUUGGCUUUACGGGGGCCCAUGAGCCCCAGAAUGCACAGAGCGGGGUAAAAAGGAGUCACCCUCCGGCGGUAUCUGUCGGUCGUGUUCUUGAGAUCGAGAGGGAAAUUGCAAUAGUCCCCGCCGAGAGAAGCGGUUAUUCGCCUAAGCGGAAGCGGUCUUUGAACUUCCAAGGGAUGUCUGGGCCGCGCAGCAGAUUCAGCAUACAAACCGGCAUGCCAGGCGGAGAUAGUGCAGCGGAAGCGGGUUUUGUCUCUCCGGGGACAUCUGUGACAAAGCGACUGGAAGGAAGAUGUUGCAGUUUUGGCAAGCGGAUCAAAGCUGUUGUUGGCAGUGAGAAAGCGCAAGGGGAUCUCUGGAUGUCCUGCCGAUCCCUGAC